This 325-nucleotide unclassified non-coding RNA is filed under the name Hevea brasiliensis (rubber tree). The record is from RNAcentral. Lineage: Eukaryota; Viridiplantae; Streptophyta; Magnoliopsida; Malpighiales; Euphorbiaceae.
AGGGAUAAAACUACAGUUUCUCAAACAGCCGUAUCAUUCUCAAAUGCAUUCUCUUUUUACAAUAUCCACCUCAUUAAAUUAUUCAAAUUCAAUUUCAAAUUAUCAAACGAUUACUCUGGUUACAACAAAAACAAAUGUAACGCACAAGCACACGCUCAUCAACCCGUCUGCAUAUAACAGAAGCUCUUUACCUGACAGUGACACAAAACGCAUGAAGCAGAGAUAUAGAGCUCACUGGAUUUCACUUACCAACAACAUCUGGGGACGGCACCUAACCUUCAUUGAGUAGGGAGACUAUCUUCUUCACUUCUUCAGUGGUUCCAUU